GCUCCAUCCCGCGCGACCCCUCCCGCCUCAGAGUCGACUCCCGGGUCCAGCCCCCGCCUCGCCCGGUGCGACCCGGAGCAUCGCGGCCCGACCCGGCGUAUAGUCGGGGUGGCGCACCCUCUGCAUUCGGGCGGAAACGCCUCCUGCCCAAGGGACCCCAACAUGGCAACCUCGGACCCACAAACUCUCGUACACAACACCGACACUCCGGUAAAAGCAGAAACACUCUCCCAGCCGAGAGACUCGCCUCCAGGGGGAGCGGUGCGCGCCGCAGACCAACCCGGGCGCUUGCUGCUCCCUGUCCCGCCCCUUCACCCCGCCCAGGCCACGCCUCCUACCAGGUCCUUCGCUGCGAAUCCCGCUGUAACUGCGACCGGGUCCAGCCCCUGGCGCCCCCAAACGCCCCGCCCCUCCCACCUCUGCGGCCAGUCCAGCUCUGACUGUCCCCCCACCCUCCCCAAGCCGCUCCAGGGGUCCCCACCCUUUGUGACCACGCCCCCACGUUUCCAGCCGCGCGCCUUGUACCCCGCCCCCUCCUUCUCCAGCUCUCUGGGGAACGCGGCUCUAGCGCCGCCUACCGGCCGGAUUCGCCCACCCCCGUGGAGCCUUGGACGACUAAAGCUGCACCCGCCACCAAAAAAAAAACAAAAAAAAAACCCGGAGAGUUGGGAAGACUUCACUUCCUUUACUUCCUUCUAGUCGUUAACUAGUCCCUUCAGGAGCCGUUUCAAACCUAUUCCCUUCACAAAGUGCACUGCCCUUCCUUCGACUUCACACACAAAAGGCGCUUUGAUGGGAACGCCCUCGAUUUACCACUGCCGAACCUACACUCCUACCUGACUCCCAUCCGCCCUCCUGUCAGGCAAGGUGUGGGUGGCUUCUACUGCUUCACACCACCCUUGGAGGUAGAUCUUACUGCCCCUUCUCUGUGGGUCAUGAAGAAGAACUUUGACCAGUGUCAAAGUCAGGAAAUGGCAGCUCCUGGUAUGACUCAAAUUCAGAUUUCAGGAGCUUCAAACACCAUGCUUCUCCAGACAGCCUGUGCUGGUUGCAUAUCCCUGAUGAGCCCCCAGCAGUAUCCUCCUCCUCCCUGGGCCUGGGAUCAGCCUCCCCAGGAACAGCGGACACUCAUGUUACCCUUAGCCCAAGAGGACUGUGGCUGAGCCCCAAUAGCUAGGAGGCCCUGGAAGCAGGAGGCCCCGGUCCAGAUGAACAGGCAGGGCUGGGCGUAGGGCAGGAAGGCAGACACUCAGGGAUUGCCUGACUACCGCAUGAGACAUGGAGGACUCAGCGAGAACCCCAGGGCCCUGCUUGCUGCUCCCCUUGGGUUGUGGGAAAUAACUGUAGGGAGAAAGCUCUUCCUCUUUGAGUUGAGACCAGCCUCCAAUAAGUCCCUCAACUCAACCUUACUUCCUCUCUGUCUCAAAGGGGCCAGCGUAUCGCUCACUCUUCAACAGGAAAUUGAUAGCAAGGAAGAAAGCUCUGUCUGGCCUAUUGUCUCUCUGCCCUUUCCUUGCUGUGUGACCUUGGGUAAAUACCUGCAAUUCCCUGGGCCUCAGCUGCCUCAUCUGAAAAGUAUGGAGUGGAUUUAAGUUUCCCCAAGGGUGCUUCUCUCUGACUCUAUUUGAAAUCAGACUCUUGUCUCUUCUAGGUUGUUCUGGUAUGGUGGGGGGGACCCUCAUCCUGGAAGUCACUGCCCCCCUCCAAUAAUAGUGAUGGCCCUUGCCAUCUGAAAUUGGUAAUUUUCCAAGCUCUGUCACACCUGGUCAUUUUCUGUCUUCACGUCACUUCUGGGAUAGAGGAUAGAGGUUUUUAUUCCCAAAUCACAGAUGGGGAAGCUGGUGGAGAGGAGCAGAGACUCAGGUCACAGGCUCCCAGCGCCCUGCAGCUUGGCCUUGAGGUGGGCUCCUCGGGGCCUUUGGACCAGGAAUCCCCUUGGUGGGGAGGGAGGGUGUUUAAGGAGCUACGCUGGGCCUCCACCCAAUGGGAAGCUCACCCAAUCAGAGAUCGGCCUGGCUGCUUACAGUACGUCAUGAGUGCUCCCCGCACCAGCCCCUUCUGAUUCAGGAUGAGACAAAGUCAUCUUCCAGGCACAGAGAGGGCCUGGGUGUUUUUAACCCUCAGAAUAUUCAUCUAGAAGGGGUCUGGAAGCACUGGGUGCCAGGGCGGACAGCAACACUAAGCCGGGCCCAAUGCAGGCACCCUCACAGAUGUGACAGGUGGCCCUCAGCAUGUUGCUCUUUCCCUUUGGGCCUCAGGCUCCUCACCUGUGAAAGGGGAAUGAAAACAAUAACCCAUCUACCCAGUGAGUUGUGGUGACCCAGCAAUAUCAGGGCUGUAGAAUCCCUUGGGGAAAUGAAGAUAGGAAGAUUGUGAUGGUCACAGUCAAUGCCAAUGAUGGGCCUCAGGCACUUACGAGGGAGAAAGAUGAGGAGUGAGGGGACUCCAAGAAGCAAUGAGCUCUGGACAGGAGCUGUCUUAGGGGGAGUCUGGCUCCUAACUCCGUUCCAAAGUCAAAUAGAAUUGACCCGAGAUGGUCCCCUUUCCUGUAUAAUUAGGCCUCAAGUGCACAGAAUUGGAUUAUUUGUAACCUUUUAUUCAUGACACAUUCUUACCAGUUAUUUAAUUGAUUCCCAUCAAAAAACAAAACAACUAGGGCCUUUACAAUGUUCUAUAUCUCAUUAUAUAGUUCUCCCACCACUCAUUCUCCUGCUGCUUUCCCGCCACCCACGGUUACCAUCACCUCCUGUGUUCAGCAUUCCCUUGCUUUCCUUUUCAUAUAGUUUCAGUGCAUCUGUGUAUUCCUUCAAAAUAUAUAUUUUCAUUCUAUUUAAAACUUUAUAAAAAGGGCAUCUUGCUGUGUAUAAUUUUUUGGGAUUUCUUUGUACUUAAUAUACUGCUAAGAUUUAUCCACUUUGCAUGUCGGUAUAGUACAUUCUGGCUGUGUGUUAACAUUCCGAUGUGUGAAUAUAGCACAGUGUAUUCAUCCACUCUCUCAUGGAUGGGCAUUUGGGCGGUUCCAGCUGUUCGUGCCUGUGAACAGUGCAGCUCAGUGUUGUGCGUGACUUCACGUGCACAUGCGCAGAAGUGCUGGAGCAACAGCUAUGCUGUUGUUCAACAUUGGAGAGGCAUUGUCAAGCUGGGGUCGAAUACCUCUUCUAUGUUUUUUGAUGAUGUGUUUCCUUUUCAGUGAAGUGCCUGUUUGUGUCUCCUGCCCAUUCUUCUCUUGGGUUAUAAUACUCUUUUGUACUUUAUGAAAAUUAUGCCCUAACUUUUCCACACUCCAUACCUCUGGGGGCAUAGGGAGGGCUGGUAGUAUUAACGUUAUUUUACAGGUAAGGAAACAGAGGCUCAGAGAAGUGAAGGGGGCUUGUUCAAAGUCAGAGUCAGAAACAGCCCUUCUGCACUGAGGCCCAAAGUCCUCAGCUAAGAAACCUUCUCUUCACCUCAAGCUGGGUCAAGGCUCCCCUGGUCCUCAGCCUCUAUUGGUCCCUGACCAUUCCAGGAGCUUUUUGUCUCCUUAGUGACACCUUCCUUGUCCCCUGGCCCUCUUUAUGUUCUUCUGAGCUCUCCUGCCUGGUUGUAAUGAUCCAGAUAUGUAUGUGUUUAUUUCAUUAUUGCCAUCCUCCAUCAGACUAGGAGCUCACUGAGGGCAGGGACCCAAUGCUCAGCAUGAUGCUUGGCAUACAGUAGGUGCUCAAUAAAUGUUGUUUGCUGGA
This is a long non-coding RNA of Lagenorhynchus albirostris (white-beaked dolphin), 3719 nucleotides long. RefSeq lists it as uncharacterized. NCBI's taxonomy places the organism in Eukaryota, Metazoa, Chordata, Mammalia, Artiodactyla, Delphinidae. The record is from RefSeq and is a predicted model, not a curated record. The transcript has 2 exons.